CCUAUCAAAAAAGAGUAUCAUGUGAAGUCAAAUUAUUUAGAAACAGAAUUGGGAGAAAAAGUCACUGAAAGAGAUUUGUUCUAUGGUAAUCAUCUUAUAUGGAAGUGUAAAGGAGCUUGUUAUGAAGUUUCAAUAUGUGGAACACAUAGAGAAAAGCCAUUAACUGCUAAGAAUGUUCCUAGUGAAUCUCUUUGAGCUAAUUCUGAAACCAGUAUAGUGUCAGCAGGUAGUACAAUGAAGGAGAUAUACUGAGCCAACAAAUAAAGAUACUGAAUAAACAUUCGACAACAGCAAAAAA
Long non-coding RNA from Amphimedon queenslandica, 298 nucleotides. RefSeq lists it as uncharacterized. NCBI's taxonomy places the organism in Eukaryota, Metazoa, Porifera, Demospongiae, Haplosclerida, Niphatidae. The transcript is spliced from 2 exons. The record is from RefSeq and is a predicted model, not a curated record.